RNAcentral lists this long non-coding RNA (4551 nucleotides) under Manihot esculenta (cassava). RNAcentral describes it as "long non-coding RNA (MESC_LNC006018)". The record is from RNAcentral. Lineage: Eukaryota; Viridiplantae; Streptophyta; Magnoliopsida; Malpighiales; Euphorbiaceae.
GGGUGUCCAGAUACUCCUUAGAAAAGAAAUUUUUCAAGGUGGAGUGAUAGAGCAUAUUUUAGCACAUUUUAUCAUGAUAUUAUUGAUGUUUAUUUGCAUCUUUUCUGCCUAAUUUUGUGGUUUUAAUCAUGUUUUGCAGACAUUAGGUGUAAAGAGACAAUCUGGAGAAAAUACUCUUAAAACUGCCAAAAAGUGUCAAAUAUGGAAAGUGUCAAAAAGGAAGGUUUUCAAAUAAGGAAAGUUUUCAGAAAAAGAAAGUUUUCAAAUAAGGAAAGUGCAGAAGCAAAAGCAGAUAAGGAAAGCUCAGUCAGAUGAUUAUUUGAAAUUCAAAUUGCAGAUCUUUCUUUCAUUGUUCAAAGAUGUGGACACACUGCAGCAGUCAUAUCUACCUAUUUAGGCAGCAAGAUUUCAUUACGACGCACUUGCCUCUUCUGCGUCCAGCAUUCAAAAUUCAAACGAAGGCUCCACCUAAAAAGGAAAGACUGGACAGAUUCAUUUUCCCUUCUGCAGUCCAUGCCGAGCGCACAUCUGCCUUCUGUAGUCCAUGCCGCGUGCCACCUUCCUCCUGAAGAGCAUGUGCACGCCUCUUUCCUUCUGAAUAAUUUGCAACGCGAUUCUUUCCUUUUCAGACACAACUUGGGCAGCAAGCACCUCUUGGGCAGCAAGGAGACCUAGGGCAACACUUUCAACUAUAAAAAGACACAUAACGAGCCACCCCAUUCUUUUUCUACACCCCUUUAGACACACCUACGGGAUUGCAAGUGACACCAUCUCUUCUUCAUCUCUUUCUUUAUUUUUGGUUUUUGUUUCAGUCAUGAGUGGCUAAAACCCUUUUAUUCUAGUUGAAGAUUGAUUGAAACUUAAGUUGUUUUAUGGAUUGUGAGAUCUGAACAUAAACUAUUUGUCUUUGGUUUGUUCAAUAUUCAUACAAUUUCAUGCUUGAUUCCAUUAUUGCUUUGUUGUUUUGAUCAAAUUGGCCACUUGAUUCUUGAUUGCAAGCUAAUAUAUUGUUAGUUUGGAUAAUUUUAAGUCUGUAAUUGCUUGGAUUAUUCAAACAUAAGAAUAUUUGGUGUAAAAACUAAGGAAAUUGUAUGAUCUAGCAACAUCUCAUGCGUCUAGGUAGCUAGGAUUGGAUCUCUCUCUUUCUCAAUGCAAUUGACAGUUGUUUGUUGCCUGAGGCCUGAGGCCUAAGGACAUUCCUUGGCAACUUGUUGAUUAGUAAUUAAUUAGAAGACGUUCCCUAAUUGGUUUAAUCUUAAGGAGAGACAUGGUGGUGGGAAGCAUCUUCCAUCCCUAUAACUAAUCUAUUGAAACAACCAAAGAAACAUAGUGUCAAUAAUCAAUCCUAACAACUGAAGUGAAUCUGAUUCUUCAACUAAAACAUUCUCAUUAUUAAUUUCUUUUAUUUUAAUCAUUUGCUCUCUUUUAUUGCUUUCAGUUUUAGAUCUCUUGAAUCAAUCUCAAACCCCUCCAAUUUACUUUCAAUUUAUUUGUUUUCAGUUUAUCUCGUUUCAGUCUAUUUCUCUUUCAGUUUAUUUUUGUUUCAGUUAAUUCUCUUGAUCUUGAUAAGGAAGAUAGCUAAGUUUUCAAUUCUCUGUGGAUUCGAUCAUUUACCACUAUCUGCAGUAGUAAUAUUGUUGAUAACCGAAAAGGUUAUUUUUGACCGAUUUUGACAACCGCGAGUCAAAAAUUGGCGCCGUUACCGGAUAAUUGAUUGAACUAAUUUAUUUUUCUUUCAAGACCAAAUCAGGAACAAAGCACCACAGAAUCUGCCUCUGAAGAAGCCACCAUCACAGAUCCCAUCUCUGAACCCUCUCCAUCGCACCACACUCUCAUUCUCUUCACCAUUCGGAUUGCCCAUCUUUUCACCAAAGCAAGUCACCAUCGCAGAACUGACUCAUGGAUGAGGUAAGUACAUCUGUUCUCUAUUCUCAACUUUCUGAACUCACAUCUGUUGUGAAAAGUAUUGUCAUAGGUCAAGCUCAACAAUUUCAGCCACCAAGGCCAUGUAGGAUUUGUGCAUAUGUGGAACACCCAACUGAUGAGUGUCCUACACUUUAUGAGUAUGACCAACCAGUGCAUGCGUUUGAAAGAUUCAAUAGUCAGCCUAGACAUACAUUUGGAGGAUUCUAUGAACAACCAAGACAUGAUCCCUACCAUGACACAUACAAUCCAGGUUGGGGAGACUAUCCAGACUUCAGUUAUGCAAAGGCUAACGACUACCAAAAUUAUCAAGCAUAUCAAGCCCAACCAGUACCUCCAAGUUCCAAUACUAAUCUUGAUGAGGUAAUGAAAAUUUUGCAAAGUCUCCAACAGCAAGCAGAUCAAAUGGCCACCAGAGUGAAUGCACUCAUGUUAAGAAGCGAGCAAGAACUUUAAGAUGAUGAGGAAGAUGAUGAGGAAGAUGAUGAGGAAGAUGAUAAGGAAGAUGAUGAAAGUUUGCAAGUACAAGAACAAGUUGCUGAAGAAAAACAAACAAAAAACUGUUUGUCCAAACAAACUGAUCAAACAGAACCUGUUGUUGAUUUAGAUAUCAUUGAUUGUUUGAGCAAAAAUGUCUUUUAUAUAAAUCAAGAUGAUAUACUAAACAAUGAUCUUUGCAGGGAAGAGGGCCAGAAAGAGCCAGAACUGAAAGAAACUGGCUGUUGCAUCCAACAGGUGGACUGCAGCCAUGCGUAGAAUGAACAGAAGCAGAUCACACCACUUCAGCUUGGUGCGCAAAUCAACCUUGCACAGACAGAGAGCAUUCCAGGCACGGCUCUUCAGCUUGAACCACAGGACAGUCAUCCCUUUCAGGUAAGUCCUGCGCAGAAAGAGGAACCGGAAACCAAUUCAGCCAUAGAUCCAACACAAACAGCCCAUGCUCACAAGGAACAAAUGGUAUUCCAAGCACCAAAAUUGAAGGAGCAUGCGGAUCAAUGCCUGCCCAAACCUCCGGAUAAGGUAGAGUUUGUUUUGCCUUAAUUCAGUACUAAAUUGCAACUAGCCAUAGAGAAACAUGAAUUGGAAUUCAAAGUGCUUCCCGAUCAUCUCAAAAAUGCAAACGUAAGAGCUAGAGGCACACCUCAUCUGAAAGAGAAGAAACUAAUCAUGUUACUUCAUGAGUACAUAGAAAAAAUAGGAUGAGUUGUGACCAAAUCAAAAGGAGUGCUACACUUUCUACUCAAUUCAGUUGGGACUCUUUUCCCUUUCCCAAUUACUUGAGCCUUGAUCAAGUGGAUCACACCAUGUACACCACACCCAGAGGAGUAUUCAAUUUUCUUUUGCAUUUUAAUUUUUCCAAUAAUUUGAGGACAAUGCAUGAACUAGGUGUGGAUGUGCAUAUCUCUGAAACUUUUAUUUUCAGUUAUUUUUGCUUUCAGUUUUAGUUUGAAUAGCCACAGUUUGAAUAUUUUUGCUUUCAGUUUUUGUUCUCAUUCUCAGUGUGAUUUUUUUUGCUUUCAGUUUUUGUUCUCAUUCUCAGUGUGAUUUUUUCUUUUUUUUUUUUGCAUUUUUAGCCACAGUUUUUUGUUUCUUAUUUUGAUUUGCUCUAAUCAAACUCAUAAACUAUGUUGGAUGAGUUUUCUUUUCAUGACCCCAUUGAUGUGAUGACUCUUUAAACCUAUGUUGAAUCAAUUGCAGUGAGUUGUAUUCAUGUUUAAGAAUUGCCUUUUGAAUUGAAUCUUUGAGCUUGCCAUGGUGAAGAAUAUAUUGAUGACACUCAUUAGAGAGAAUGAAUUGAAAGUUGUGUGAAUGAACUUAACAUGACUUGAUUUAGCAAUUGGUGUUGAUUUGCCCAAUGCAUGGAUUAAAGGAAUUCAGCAAAGGCUUAGACUUCAUGAGCACAAAUUGAAAAUUGUUCCAAUGGUUGAAAGACUAUGAACAGAGCUAGUAGCCACUUGGACAGGUGACCAACUGAGCAACUGGGGGUGGGUAUCACCAAUAUGUACCUUCACGUCAAAAGGUUGGUGACUUCUUUAAGCAAAACUUAAGUGCAAAAAGCUGAACAAAGUACUUCAAGGUAAUGGCAAGUCACUCUGAAAGCUAGAAAAAGUCUUAACAGAACAAUAAUAUGUGCAUGUGUAAUCUCUCUCUCUUGAGGAAAACAAAUCCUAGCCAUGGCAAGUAAAGGGAAACAAGGAAAAAAGGUGAGUAACCUUGAUGCAUAUAUUCUUCACUGCAAUGAUUCAAAAUAAGUAUCUUGAGUAAGAGAUUAAGUGGAAAUAAGGAUCAAGUAGCAAAGAAAGCUUGUUUGACUAUGUUUAUUUGCUCGAGGACAAGCAAAAGGCUAGGUGUGGGGGUAUUUGAUAGAGCAUAUUUUAACCCAUUUUAUCAUGAUAUUAUUGAUGUUUAUUUGCAUCUUUUCUAUCUAAUUUUGUGGUUUUAAUCAUGUUUUGCAGACAUUAGGUGUAAACAGACAAUCUGGAGAAAAUUCCCUUAAAACUGCCAAAAAGUGUCAAAUAUGGAAAGUGCCAAAAAAGAAGGUUUUCAAAUAAGGAAAGUUUUUAGAAAAUAAAAGUUUUCAAAUAAGGAAAGUGCAGAAGCAAAAGCAGAUAAGGAAAGCUAAGUCAG